CGGCACUUGUACCCGGGACCUGUGCUCCUCCCACCCCCAGUGACAAAGUAAGACCCUGCCUCAAGAAGAAGAAGGAAGAAGAAAGACAAAAAGAAAGAGAAGGAGGAGGAGGAGGAGAAGGAGAAAGAAGGAGAAGAAGGAGAAGGAGAAGAAGAAGAAGAAGAAGAAGAAGAAGAAGAAGAAGAAGAAGAAGAAGAAGAAGAAGAAGAAGGGAAGAAGAAGAAGAAGAAGGAGAAGAAGAGGAAGAAGAAGAAGAAGAGAAGAAGAAGAAAAGGAGGAGGACACUUUAUUGCAUGUAAAUUAAAAGUAAAUUUACAGGAAUUAUUUAUUAUUUGCAGUGCAUGCUCUUUAUUCUUGAGCCAAAGAGACAUAGCUUAACUAAAGCUAACUAUGAUCAGUGAUGUCACAUAAUGGCAAUUGUGACAGUGAGUUUGUGGCCCUUUAUCCCUUAUCACCCUUCCAAUCACAUCGCUGUGAUUGAGUGCAGACUGCUUCCUUUGUUUGUUUUCAUGCUCCCCCUUUGAUUACUCUCUCUUUUCUGAGCUGUAUUCUCCUUCCCUGUAAGUAAAGUACGACCUGUAAAACACAAGAGGAAAUGGGAGCAUAAAAAUUUGCAUAAUGUAAUGAAACUGCUGUAUCAUGAGCUUUCUUUCUUUGGUUAUGUUCGAAUGAAAACAAAGGUAUACCUCUGAAUCGGAGUUUGGAGUGUUAGCCCUGGAAACUGGAAUGAAUAAAAUAGGCCAGUAAGGCUUGCGUGCCUUACAACUUUAAUGCAGCCAUGUGCUGUACUGUUUAUGGGUAAAGCACCUGGCAUCACAGUCCUUCCUGGACUGGCCUUUAUCUCAGGUAAGUGAGGCCUUUCCUGUUGAAUCUCUUCCAGGCAGGUGUGCAGGGAAAGAUGAUAGCCUGGCCCAUGGCUGAAUGAUUACUUCUCAUCCAUGGAAUUCAUUUUCAUAUCUGGAAUGCUGCAUAAUCUGGUGAAUAAAGCACUAAACUGGAAAUCCAGGAUAUACAGUUUGUGAGGACUUGCUGACUGCACUUAUGUGAUCAUCUUAACAGCUUAAUGCUUGAAUUAACUCAAUCAGUAUCAUGGUUGGUAAUUUGUAGUAAAAAUUCUGACAACUUAUACAUGGUUUAAAUUUAUAAAGUGCUUUUAUGCAGUUUAACUCUUUUAAUCUUCAGGUUCAGAUGGG
Molecule: long non-coding RNA, 1193 nt
Filed under: Homo sapiens (human)
Lineage: Eukaryota; Metazoa; Chordata; Mammalia; Primates; Hominidae
Description: HSALNT0318276
Source: RNAcentral